AUUCAAUAUUAUCCCAUUGUUGUUUUGAACAUAGUUACUACGUGGCAACCGGCGAGUCACCACUCACAAACGAAAAUAGUAAAACACUUCACCAAACCAACAAAUAGAAAAGGCACUUUAAUAUGAUGCGCGAAGCUACAAGAAUCUUCCAUGUUCUCUUUCUGAAGCAAGUUUGAUAUACACUGACCUCUGCACUUUCAAUUGAGCUCUGAAGAGCUGAUGAGUGAGCUAAGCUAGUUGUCAACUAAUGUCCACAUGAUGCCUAAUUUUUUAUGAAGAGAAUCCAUAACUGUACUUGGAGUUCAAAGGUAUCGACGUGAGUCUUGUGUACGACACAAAUGAGGGUUUGGUUAAUGUGUCAGAGACAAGAUGUUGUAAUACACUGGAUCAUAUAAAGGUGUCAGAUUAGCUUCGGGUCAGGAUUUAUAUAGUUGCCAGCUUAUCCUAAACCCCUUGUCUUUCAGGAUUCUAUCAACACUGUCUUUGUCUUCCAAUGAAAGCUUCGUAUGUUUAUUCAUUGUAGAGGGUAGAAAAGGUAGAGGGCAAAUGAGUGGGUAGCUGACUAAAGUCCCACAUUGUCUGUGUGCAUUAAAAAAACUAAGCCGAUCAGACAUAAAAUGAAAGGACCUUUACAUCUAAUUUUCACGAAGCCGUGUGAUAAUGACAUAGCGAACUAUUCUUUCGCCUUUUACUAAAGAAUACCGUGUCAAUGUCACAUUUAGCGGCAUGCGCUAGUUUUUGGAAGAGUCCUCUUUAUUGAGGGCUCUACAACCUUAGUUUAAGUUUACAUGUUCUUUGCCAAACAUCAUUGUUAGCAGGAUUCUGCUUUUGAUCUUUAGGUUGUGUGUUUUGUUUACUGCCGUUAACAGGUGCAGCAUGAAUUUGAGAGAUAAAUUGACGGUGAAGAUUGAUUAUGUAUUCAACUUUUCAAAAUGCAUAUUACAACUGAAGAAUGCGUUUAUAUACAAGCAUCCUGACGGGACAUCGUUUAUAUUCUUCUUUGAAAUAGUUAAAUUGAUCACCUUGUGCAAUGAAGAAUACUUAUGUUAUGAAUGUUUAGUGAAGCUGUUGCAAUUAGGAGGGGCGCUAGACUAAGGUCUACCCAAGUGGUGGAUCCUACAUCAUAAUUUGUUGCUGUGGGGACUGCGUUCUCGCAGACCCUCCUCAUUACCUUUAAAAAUCAAAAUCAUGGUUGGCUAGUACUAGGGAGUUUUUUCGGUAGUUUGACAAAGCUAUUUUUAAACAUGUUUCAUUGAAAGAAACUAAACAUAGUGGCCUCAAAAGUCAAAUUUAGACCAACUGAAGCAGAAUGAGAAUAAAACUACACAAUCUCAGUUGCAACAUAUGCAGAAUAAUUUUAGACCAACAAAGAAAUUAAAAAACAAACACAAGUAAGAGCUCAGUUGCAACAUAUGCAGAAUCUCUUGCCAAUCAGAAACAUCAAUUAAGACAAUAGAGUCAGUGAGAUGCACUUCACUAGAAAUUUCUGCUAUGGCUUUACUAAAUAAAAAUUGAAAUUCUCAUAUAUUAAUUUAUAGCUCUUUACCACACAAUUGGCAUUUAGAGUUCUAUAUCUUUUGAACUUAAACCAACCAUAUUUGCCUAUAUCUGGAAGCACAUAAAGUUCUACCAUAUCUGAGUGUUAGUGAAGAUAAAAAACCGAUUGUUCUCUGCAGUUCAUUUUAUAUUCAAAUAAAACUACUAUGUGCGUAUAAUCCCGACUUGUUCACUGUUUUAUUUAUUCUAUGAUGUUUAUUUUCACCUACGAAUUACAUGUGCAUUUGUUCCCUGCAUCAUUUCCUUUGCCGCCUAUGAGUUUUGACUUGUUUGAAUGUAUUUCUUCUGUUUACAAGCAGUUUGAUAUACACUGACAUCUGCACUUUCAAUUGAGCUCUGAAGAGCUGAUGAGUGAGCUAAGCUAGUUGUCAACUACUGUCCACACGAUACCUAUUUUUUAGGAAGAGAAUCCAUAACUGUACUUGGAGUUCAAAGGCAUCAACACGAGUCUCGUUUACAGCACGAAGGAGGGUUUGGUUAAUGUGCCAGAUUCUUGCGGAGUAAUUUUCAGACACAAGAACCUUUUCUAUUGAGGAAAAAAUCCAAUUGAUGGUAAGGAUGCUUGUAGUAUGAAUUUUGUCUAGGAUCUUGGCCAUUAACAAGCGCAGCUUGUGGAGGCAUUGUGAAACUGAAUCAGAGAGAGGGUCAAAUUGAAAGGAAUUUGAGAGAUAAAUUGACAUUGAUUAUGAUUCUUUUGCAUGCUAAAGUCAUGGGGGAUUUUGAUCAAGAAAAUGGUGUCGUCUUUAAAUACUUGCUUAAAUAAAAGAUGGAAUAUAGAGUUCUUAUUCAUGUGCUCUUCGUUGCAAGGAUUCUUUUGCAUGCCAAAGACAUGGUAGAUUUUGAUCAAGAAAAUGAUGCGGUCUUUAAAUACUUCCUUAAAUAAAAGAUGGAAUAAUCGUUUAGCUCAAUACAUCUCCUCUGUUGCAAGGUGAGUUCUUAUUCAUGUGCUCUUCUGUUUUAAGGUGAGUUCUUAUUCAUGUGCUAUGUUUGUGUUGAAAUUCCAUUGUCACUAAAUGGGUAUACUUUAGUUAUUAACUUUAGUGAAGCCAUUGUCUUUGUGCCAAUUUUUGUCAUUAGAACAAAAUAUAUUAUGGGUCAAGAUGAAACUACUUCGUCCAUGUUAUUUCUAUGGGAAU
Molecule: long non-coding RNA, 2693 nt
Organism: Lathyrus oleraceus (garden pea)
Lineage: Eukaryota; Viridiplantae; Streptophyta; Magnoliopsida; Fabales; Fabaceae
Exons: 6
Source: RefSeq, a predicted model, not a curated record